UGACUCUAUACCUGUAGUUUUUGGUGUGACAAGAGAUCCCUUCAUUGUUUUUUCAUCUAAUCUCUUUGCCAUUUUAGAUAAAGUCUACGAUCUCUAUAUACACUGAUUUCAGAAGACAGAAAGCAUGGCAGAAUUGGAGUAUCUACAGGCAAUUGUUCAAGAUGGAUAAACAAGAGGAGCAACUAUGCAAAUUUCAUCUUCAUGUCAACUUUUGUGUUUCUUUCCAACAAGUAUUAACUA
This is a non-coding RNA of Lactuca sativa (garden lettuce), 240 nucleotides long. The record is from RefSeq and is a predicted model, not a curated record. NCBI's taxonomy places the organism in Eukaryota, Viridiplantae, Streptophyta, Magnoliopsida, Asterales, Asteraceae.